Molecule: ribosomal RNA, 253 nt
Filed under: uncultured bacterium
Lineage: Bacteria
Description: partial 16S ribosomal RNA
Rfam family: Bacterial small subunit ribosomal RNA
Source: RNAcentral
UACGUAGGCAGCAAGCGUUGUUCGGAUUUACUGGGCGUAAAGAGCGCGUAGGCGGUUUUGUAAGUCGGGUGUGAAAUCCCCAAGCUUAACUUGGGAGCUGCAUUCGAGACUGCAUAGCUAGAGUAUGGGAGAGGGAAGUGGAAUUUCAGGUGUAGCGGUGAAAUGCGUAGAUAUCUGAAGGAACAUCAGUGGCGAAAGCGACUUCCUGGACCAAUACUGACGCUCAUGUGCGAAAGCGUGGGGAGCAAACAGG